Saccostrea cuccullata (small rock oyster) is the source of this 3047-nucleotide long non-coding RNA. RefSeq lists it as uncharacterized. NCBI's taxonomy places the organism in Eukaryota, Metazoa, Mollusca, Bivalvia, Ostreida, Ostreidae. The record is from RefSeq and is a predicted model, not a curated record. The transcript is spliced from 3 exons.
UUGAACAUAAUUCACAACUGAAUUCACAAAGCAGUAACAGGUAACUGCGCAGCAGACUUUCAGAUCAGUUCAUUACAUUUUUCAGUCGAAAGUGCAUUACAGGAGCCCAGAGAUGAUCAAAAAUUGAGAGCAGAAGAAAUUUGAGGCUGACCAGGAUCCUGAAGUGAGGAGCAGUCCCUUUCCCAUUUAACAGCAUUCAUGAGCAGAAAAUGGGGAAGCAGAAAUGCUGAGACAGUUCAGAAGAAACAUCACCAGAAGCCACAGCAACAGCAAAGGAAGCUUAUAUGGAAGUAUUUUUGAUUUUCUCCCUUUCCCCUACCCCCUGGCCCCUGCUGACUCUAACAUAACUAACCAUCCCCUUUCCUUUCCCCCUCAUUCGUCUUCCUGAAUUCACUGUCAUUGUUUUCUGAUUUUUCAAUGAAUUGUGUUGUACUGAUUUUAUUCACUUGAAUUUUUGUGAUUUGUUGCAUUGUUUUGAAGUCUUACUAAUCUUGUGCCAGUUUAUACUUUCAGGGACUCGGAAGAGGAACAACGAUGGAGGAGCAAGGUCGACCAACAGAAGAAGACGAGAUGACGAGUCCAUUUCCCAUCUCUAUACAGCAGCCAACAUGGCCCAAAGUGGUAAGUAACUUUUCGUGAUUUGUUGCAUUCUUUUGAAGUUUUACUAACAUUGUGCCAGUUUUAUACUUUCAGGGACUCGGAAGAGGAACAACGAUGGAGGAGCAGGGUCGACCAACAGAGGAAGACGAGAUGACUAGUCCAUUUCCCAUCUCUAUACAGCAGCCAACAUGGCCCAAAGUGGUAAGUAACUUUUCGUGAUUUGUUGCAUUCUUUUGAAGUUUUACUAACAUUGUGCCAGUUUUAUACUUUCAGGGACUGGGAAGAGGAACAACGAUGGAGGAGCAGGGUCGACCAACAGAGGAAGACGAGAUGACGAGUCCAUUUCCCAUCUCUAUACAGCAGCCAACAUGGCCCAAAGUGGUAAGUAACUUUUCGUGAUUUGUUGCAUUCUUUUGAAGUUUUACUAACAUUGUGCCAGUUUUAUACUUUCAGGGACUGGGAAGAGGAACAACGAUGGAGGAGCAGGGUCGACCAACAGAGGAAGACGAGAUGACGAGUCCAUUUCCCAUCUCUAUACAGCAGCCAACAUGGCCCAAAGUGGUAAGUAACUUUUCGUGAUUUGUUGCAUUCUUUUGAAGUUUUACUAACAUUGUGCCAGUUUUAUACUUUCAGGGACUGGGAAGAGGAACAACGAUGGAGGAGCAGGGUCGACCAACAGAGGAAGACGAGAUGACGAGUCCAUUUCCCAUCUCUAUACAGCAGCCAACAUGGCCCAAAGUGGUAAGUAACUUUUCGUGAUUUGUUGCAUUCUUUUGAAGUUUUACUAACAUUGUGCCAGUUUUAUACUUUCAGGGACUGGGAAGAGGAACAACGAUGGAGGAGCAGGGUCGACCAACAGAGGAAGACGAGAUGACGAGUCCAUUUCCCAUCUCUAUACAGCAGCCAACAUGGCCCAAAGUGGUAAGUAACUUUUCGUGAUUUGUUGCAUUCUUUUGAAGUUUUACUAACAUUGUGCCAGUUUUAUACUUUCAGGGACUCGGAAGAGGAACAACGAUGGAGGAGCAGGGUCGACCAACAGAGGAAGACGAGAUGACAAGUCCAUUUCCCAUCUCUAUACAGCAGCCAACAUGGCCCAAAGUGGUAAGUAACUUUUCGUGAUUUGUUGCAUUCUUUUGAAGUUUUACUAACAUUGUGCCAGUUUUAUACUUUCAGGGACUGGGAAGAGGAACAACGAUGGAGGAGCAGGGUCGACCAACAGAGGAAGACGAGAUGACGAGUCCAUUUCCCAUCUCUAUACAGCAGCCAACAUGGCCCAAAGUGGUAAGUAACUUUUCGUGAUUUGUUGCAUUCUUUUGAAGUUUUACUAACAUUGUGCCAGUUUUAUACUUUCAGGGACUGGGAAGAGGAACAACGAUGGAGGAGCAGGGUCGACCAACAGAGGAAGACGAGAUGACGAGUCCAUUUCCCAUCUCUAUACAGCAGCCAACAUGGCCCAAAGUGGUAAGUAACUUUUCGUGAUUUGUUGCAUUCUUUUGAAGUUUUACUAACAUUGUGCCAGUUUGAUACUUUCAGGGACUGGGAAGAGGAACAACGAUGGAGGAGCAGGGUGGACCAACAGAGGAAGACGAGAUGACGAGUCCAUUUCCCAUCUCUAUACAGCAGCCAACAUGGCCCAAAGUGGUAAGUAACUUUUCGUGAUUUGUUGCAUUCUUUUGAAGUUUUACUAACAUUGUGCCAGUUUUAUACUUUCAGGGACUGGGAAGAGGAACAACGAUGGAGGAGCAAGGUCGACCAACAGAGGAAGACGAGAUGACGAGUCCAUUUCCCAUCUCUAUACAGCAGCCAACAUGGCCCAAAGUGGUAAGUAACUUUUCGUGAUUUGUUGCAUUCUUUUGAAGUUUUACUAACAUUGUGCCAGUUUUAUACUUUCAGGGACUGGGAAGAGGAACAACGAUGGAGGAGCAGGGUCGACCAACAGAGGAAGACGAGAUGACGAGUCCAUUUCCCAUCUCUAUACAGCAGCCAACAUGGCCCAAAGUGGUAAGUAACUUUUCGUGAUUUGUUGCAUUCUUUUGAAGUUUUACUAACAUUGUGCCAGUUUUAUACUUUCAGGGACUGGGAAGAGGAACAACGAUGGAGGAGCAGGGUUGACCAACAGGGGAAGACGAGAUGACGAGUCCAUUUCCCAUCUCUAUACAGCAGCCAACAUGGCCCAAAGUGGUAAGUAACUUUUCGUGAUUUGUUGCAUUCUUUUGAAGUUUUACUAACAUUUUGCCAGUUUUAUACUUUCAGGGACUGGGAAGAGGAACAACGAUGGAGGAGCAGGGUCGACCAACAGAGGAAGACGAGAUGACGAGUCCAUUUCCCAUCUCUAUACAGCAGCCAACAUGGCCCAAAGUGGUAAGUAACUUUUCGUGAUUUGUUGCAUUCUUUUGAAGUUUUACUAACAUUGUGCCAGUUUUAUACUUUCAGGGACUGGGAAGAGG